CUUAAUAAAUAAAUAAAUAAAUAAAUAAAUAAAUAAAUAAAAUUCAUUUUUUUUUUUUUUAUGGUAGGUCCUAGUCAAAAUGGUUUGGAAAAUGCUAUGCUAUUUAUUAAUUUUUUUAAAAGUGUAUUUAUUUUGAGAGAGAGAGAGACAGACAGAAUUCCAAGCAGGCUCCGUGCUGUCAGUGCAGAGCCCGAUGCGGGGCUCGAACUCUUGGAACCGUGAGAUCGACCUGAGCCGAGAUCAAGAGUCAGACACUUGACCGACUGAGCCACCCAGGCGCCCCGGAAAAUGCUAUUUUAGUAACAGGCGGAAAUACAUCGUAGAAAGCUCGUGGGCUUUUGAGUAGGACCGAGGUUUAAAUCCUGGCUCAGACACUCAGUAGCUGUGUGACCUUCGGGAAGUCACUUGGCCUCUCUGACCUCCAGUUUCCUCAUCUGAAAACGGGAGGUAGAGCGAGGUUAUCCUUGCCCUGUACCUUGCCGCAUGAUCGAUGCGGGUGGUUUUUAACGUUUGUUUCGUUUUUAAGUCUCAGAGCCGUUUAGCAAUCUGAGGAAAGCCUCUCAGCCCAGAGAAACAAACCUAUGUACCAAACGUCACCAGCUAUCCCAAGGGAUUCCUGGUCCUCUUGAAGGCUUUGUUGGUGGCUGGGGAUUUGGGGGUGCAGUGAUGGAGGGAAAGCCAGAUGCACGGGGGGGGUGGCAUGGGUGUGGGAAUGUGGGACCCCCCUCGAGAGCACUCACACGGUAGAACUGCGGUGACUCCUGAUGGACAGGCCCUGCUCAGCCCUCACCAGCCGUUGGUAGGAGAUUCCUGUUGCCAAAACAAACGAGAGUCGGUAGGUUUAUCAUGCCUCGCUGUGACCCCACACUGGCCAAGGAGGUCAGGGGCCUGGGGACGAGACUCAGGCCCCGUGCAGAUCCGCUCCCCUGAGACGGUGGGCACAGGGCCCGAGGCUGCGAGGCGGCCGGCCUGCUGUCACCUAGGAGUUCUCUGGCCAUCUGGAGGCACGGGGGCCCUCCCAAGAGUGUGCAGGCCCCCAGCUGGGUCUCCAAUGGCCCUCCGCGCCCCUGCCUGGCUUCCCACGGGCUCUUAGGACAGGUGGGUCUCCCUGACCCUGUCCUUCCCAGGCUGGGUCCUGUCCCUGCCCCUGGCCACAACACCCCCACCCCCAAGCCUUUCUCUCCAGCCUCAUCUGCCUCAUCAGCCCAAAGUCUCUCCUUUUCUCCUGCGACCUGACUGGAAAACAGAGCCUUGAGAGUAAGGAUUCGGUUGUGUAUCCACCACGGUAAGGUUAAACAACACUGGCCCUCCUCACCGACAAGGGCACCAGAAGCAGGGGCUGGGAUUCAGGGGGGCAGGCAGCCUCAAGGGGGCCCCUGUCAGGGGGCAAGGCCCCUCUGCGACUGGGUGUGGGCCGGGAGGAGGAAGGCAAUCCCCCUGGAUAGGUGCAAAGCCAACACCGGGGUCAGAGACAGCUGUAAACAGAAAGGCCACGAUUUUUGUGUCAUCGAUGGUGGAAAAUUGCUAGUUCAUGCUAUUCUAAUUUAGGACCUAACUGUUUUGAUUUGGGGCCUUUUGUUUGAUGUUUCUCUUAGGUAACUGUCACAUGUUCAGAGGUUGAAGUUAUGCUUAUUUUGAUGGGAAAGUCCCUGAAACGGUGGCUACUGCCAUCGGGACCUGGGACACCAUCUGGUGGCCACUUGGGUGUUGGAUGGGGGCUUCUGGAAGACCCCAUUUUGCAACCUCCCUUUCCUCCUUUCUGUUAACUGGAAUGGGGACAUGAUGGCCACAGCUCCUGCGGUCAUUAGACCAAGAAGUGACACCGAGGGCAGUGUUUCCUGCUAAGGAUGGUGAAACAGAAAAAAGAAAUGAUUCUGGAAUGUUCAGCCCUGCCUGUGCCAACCCUGGGCUGCCUUCCACUGGGAUUUUUUUUUUUUUUAAUGUAAGAAAAAAAAAAUAAACCCCUUUGAGUUGCCACAACUA
Felis catus (domestic cat) is the source of this 1983-nucleotide long non-coding RNA. RefSeq lists it as uncharacterized. The transcript has 2 exons. NCBI's taxonomy places the organism in Eukaryota, Metazoa, Chordata, Mammalia, Carnivora, Felidae. The record is from RefSeq and is a predicted model, not a curated record.